UACGGAGGGGGCUAGCGUUGUUCGGAAUUACUGGGCGUAAAGGGCGCGUAGGCGGUGCGAUCAGUCAGGCGUGAAAGGCCCGGGCUCAACCCGGGGACUGCGCUUGAUACUGUUGCGCUGUGAGUCCGGGAGAGGAUGGCGGAAUUCCCAGUGUAGAGGUGAAAUUCGUAGAUAUUGGGAAGAACACCGGUGGCGAAGGCGGCCAUCUGGACUGGCACUGACGCUGAGGCGCGAAAGCGUGGGGAGCAAUCAGG
Molecule: ribosomal RNA, 254 nt
Filed under: uncultured bacterium
Lineage: Bacteria
Description: partial 16S ribosomal RNA
Rfam family: Bacterial small subunit ribosomal RNA
Source: RNAcentral